RNAcentral lists this ribosomal RNA (465 nucleotides) under Vreelandella stevensii. RNAcentral's name for it is "partial 16S ribosomal RNA". It matches the Rfam family "Bacterial small subunit ribosomal RNA", at positions 338 to 795 of the family's 1533-position model. Lineage: Bacteria; Pseudomonadati; Pseudomonadota; Gammaproteobacteria; Oceanospirillales; Halomonadaceae. The record is from RNAcentral.
CCUACGGGUGGCUGCAGUGGGGAAUAUUGGACAAUGGGGCGAACCCUGAUCCAGCCAUGCCGCGUGUGUGAAGAAGGCCCUCGGGUUGUAAAGCACUUUCAGUGAGGAAGAACGCCUGGUGGUUAAUACCCAUCAGGAAAGACAUCACUCACAGAAGAAGCACCGGCUAACUCCGUGCCAGCAGCCGCGGUAAUACGGAGGGUGCGAGCGUUAAUCGGAAUUACUGGGCGUAAAGCGCGCGUAGGUGGCUUGAUAAGCCGGUUGUGAAAGCCCCGGGCUCAACCUGGGAACGGCAUCCGGAACUGUCAAGCUAGAGUGCAGGAGAGGAAGGUAGAAUUCCCGGUGUAGCGGUGAAAUGCGUAGAGAUCGGGAGGAAUACCAGUGGCGAAGGCGACCUUCUGGACUGACACUGACACUGAGGUGCGAAAGCGUGGGUAGCAAACAGGAUUAGAUACCCUAGUAGUC